Long non-coding RNA from Mya arenaria, 2701 nucleotides. RefSeq lists it as uncharacterized. The record is from RefSeq and is a predicted model, not a curated record. The transcript is spliced from 11 exons. NCBI's taxonomy places the organism in Eukaryota, Metazoa, Mollusca, Bivalvia, Myida, Myidae.
GUCAGACAUAUUUUGAUUGUGAGGGGUGAACACUACCAAUGGUCUGGAAAGGCAGCAAAGGAGUUUAAAUAGAACUACUUGGCCAACUAUACUAUGGGCUCAUUGAACAAUAUGGUCACUACUAAAUUUCCUUCCGGAACGCUACAUAAGUUCUGAAGACUGCUGUGAAGGCUAAAACUCAUGUAUCAUCUGGUGUAAAGAUUAUCCCUCAGGAUAGUGUGCUGACCGUGUCUGUUAACAAAACAGAUUCCAUGCGCUGAUUGUAGUAGAUCCUAUCAUUUCACCAAUUACUGUGUUGAAGUAGAUGUUGAAGGACUGGGAGAUUGGCCCCAGAUACUAAGACAACAAGACAGGGCUACCAACACAACAAUCCAACUAUCAAGAAAUGAUUCCCUGAUAGACCAACCGAUUGCAGCCGAUGCUCAUACAACAAAAAAGCAAAAUGAUGCUGGCAGGACAUUUGCCCGAAGUCCAAAAGGUGUCAGAAGGACAGUCGACAUAGGGGCGCGUAUAAUUUGCUUAAAGUGCCAAAGAGGUAAAAAAACACAUUUUGAUAAGAGGACUACCAACAAAAAACCAGUAGAGGACCAAAUAAGCCAGUAGGCCCACACAUGCUGACAGAACAGACGCCAGCAUGCUGUUUAUGCAUAUAACCCACUGAUGAAAGAUGGCACUCGUAAAGUCCUGGCCUGUGGAAUAACUGUAAUACGUUUAUCGAUGCAUGUGUACUCAGUAAUGAUUCAGGAUAAAUUCUACAGCAGCCACUACAAUAUUGAUGUUAUAAGCAGAGAGUUUGGAAACUUGUUCAAUGAAGAGUUUGGAUUGGCAGAGUGUUACUUGUCAAGGGUGUUAAAGAAGGAAGCUAUGAUUUCCAUUCUGCAAAUGCACUCUAUUGUCAGUUAUCAGGAGGCGGAAGCAAGAAAGGAGGCAGAGAGUACAAACAACAGAAAAAAACAUGUUUGCUCGGAUAGUUCCUAUACAUUGUAAAUGAGGGCAUGAAGUGUGAUGUAUCUGAAAAAGGAACAACACAACCAAUCCACAACGAGUUCAAUGUGGUAAGGUUUGUCAACGACAUUUUCUUGUCUAGUUAAUAUUCUAAUGUAUACAAGCCUUUUUUAUGAAGAAGCUGUUUGCUUUCAGCAAAACAUUUUAAGUAAUUCACAAACUGAUGCAUUGAUUUACAAGAACAUUUCCGUUAGAUAUACAUGUACAUCUAUUGUGCUCAAAUACAAUUAUUUAGACAUUGAACAGCCCCCUGUUUGAACUAUAAGACAAAUAAUAAUCUGAAGUGUUUUUGUUUUUCUGUGCUUCUUUUUAAUUCAGCUGAACUAAACUAGACACUGUUUCCAUAGAAACGUCCAAUUUGCGACAAUUUGGUAACGUCUGCGUUUGAAAAAUUCAGUAACUAUUUGUUUUCAUUUGUUAGUUUCUUGAAGAAAGAUAAAAAUAUUUACUGUUGUUCAAGUAGAUUGAAUGUUACUUAUGCAAUUGCAUCUGGUCAUUUACAUUUUGCAAUAUCUUUGUUUAAUAUUUCACAGUUAACUACUUCCUAUUAUUGAAUUUCUUCUACCAAUUGAAGAUCAGGUCAAUAAAAUACAGGUAUUGAAUUUUGACCAAAAACGAUUUUUCAGUUUAAUGUUUCUCUGACCCCAAUUAAUCAAAUACUAUAUCCAUGCAAGUGCUUGAAUUUAAUGAUUUUCUGUGCAAUGUAAAUUUCGAAAAGAAUAUCGUGUUUUUGUCUGUACAUUUGCUAACUCCCAUUAAAGAAAGUGCACGAACGGGCACAGCUCCUACAAAAUACGACUAUUCAGCUGAUAUUUACAAACUCAAUUCACAUAAACGCUGGUAAGUCUUUGCAUCUUGUUUUAAAAAACAUGGUACAAAACAUUAUGAAUAUGACUUCUAAUUGUUUGAUAACUGACCAUGAUGGAAGCGGCUUGGACGACCGGUAGAAAUAGGGGUCGAUGGGAGUAUUUACAACGGAUGGACAGUCUCCGGUGCUAUGACCUGGCUGAGGGUUAUUUGUUCCUUAAAAGGUAAGUGUUCAUGUGUACUUUUAGACAAAGGGUAAGCUAUGUGUCCACUCAAAAUGUAAUCUGUUCAUAGUAAAAACUUUUGUUUUCAUGUAAAGCAUCAAAUAUUACAUUGUUAUGUAUAAUAAUUGAAAGUUGUUUCAAACAAAUCUCCUUACAUAACUUGGCAAUGAUGCAUUGUAAUUGCAUAACAUUGACUUACUCCAAGAAUAUUUUGGGUUCAACUUUUUAGGUGUCUAUUUACUGAUCGUGAGUGUGUUCAUCAAAGCAAUUUAUAUUGACCUGGACAAAUGGUUGGAUGUAAUUUAUACAUGUAUUUAUAUAAGUUUAUUAGUUUGAUCGAGUGGCUACAACUUUUUCAACAGCAGCAACUUUCGAAGUACCUCCUUCUUUCUAUCUCAGGACAACCGACAUCAAAGGACAAAAACCUCCUAGAGACAGCAAAUAAAACAACACGAUCUUUCCGUCAGUUUGUCUGUAGUUAAGUUUUUAUUCCAAUUAAAUAUAUAUAUGCAUAAAUGUUCUCUACAGGAUGAAUGUCCUGAUCACAUUGUUUAUUAUAUAUUGUUUGUGGAAAUUGUUAACAUGCAUGAUUGAAUUUCACAUGUUUACUAGGUUUCUAUUCAUAAAACAUCUGAAGUUAUUUCCUAACUAAGGCUUUUUGAUUA